This 1708-nucleotide ribosomal RNA is filed under the name Monomorphina megalopsis. Its description in RNAcentral is "bacterial LSU rRNA". It matches the Rfam family "Bacterial large subunit ribosomal RNA", at positions 1011 to 2744 of the family's 2925-position model. Lineage: Eukaryota; Euglenozoa; Euglenophyceae; Euglenales; Euglenaceae. The record is from RNAcentral.
UCGAGAGGGAAACAGCCCAGAUCACCGUUUAAGGCCCCUAAAUAAUUACUAAGUGACAAAGGAGGUAAUCGUACAUAGACAACCAGGAGGUUUGCCUAGAAGCAGCCACCCUUUAAAAAUUGCGUAAUAGCUUACUGGUCAAGUGCUUUUGCGCCGAAAAUGAAUGGGACUAAGUAAUUUGCCGAAAAUGUGAGAUAAUAUCGGUAGAAGAGCGUUCUGUUUUAGUUUGAAGCAAUAGUGUAAACAGUUGUGGACUAUUCAGAAGUGAGAAUGUCGGCUUAAGUAACGAAAACAUUGGUGGAAAUCCAAUGCCCCGAAAACCUAAGGAUUCCUUCGCAAGGUUCGUCCACGAAGGGUUAGUCAGGGCCUAAAAUGAGGUUUAACAACGUAAUUGAUGGAUAACGGGUUAAUAUUCCCGUACUGCAAUUUAUAUGAUUAAGAGUGACGAAGAAGGCUAUAUCAUCCAAGUUUUGGUUUUUGGUUUAAUCUUUCAAGAUUUUGAGAAAUGCUAAAAAAAGUAUUUUGAGUUGAGAAGAGAAUACGAGAUAUACUACGGUAUUGAAAGUGAUAAAUGCCAUGCUUCCUAGAAAAACUUUUUUAACUUCUGUAGAUUGUACCUGUACCUUAAACUGACACAGGUAGGUUGGUAGAGAAUACCAAGGGGCGCGAGAUAACUCUUUCUAAGGAACUCGGCAAAAUGACUCUGUAACUUCGGGAGAAAGAGUGCCACAUUUAUGUGGUCGCAGUUAACAGACCCAAGCGACUGUUUACCAAAAACACAGGUCUCCGCUAAGUUGUAAAACUAUGUAUGGGGGCUGACGCCUGCCCAGUGCCGGAAGGUUAAAGAAAUUGGUUAGCUCACGCGAAGCUGGUGACUGAAGCCCUGGUGAACGGCGGCCGUAACUAUAACGGUCCUAAGGUAGCGAAAUUCCUUGUCGGGUAAGUUCCGACCCGCACGAAAGGCGUAACGAUUUGGGUACUGUCUCAGAAAGAGACUCGGUGAAAUAGAAUUGACUGUGAAGAUGCGGUCUACUUGCACUUGGACAGAAAGACCCUAUGAAGCUUUACUGUAACUUGAAAUUGGUUUCGGGCUUUUCUUGCGCAGAAUAGGUGGGAGGCUAUGAUCCUCUUUUUCGGAAGUUGGUGAGCCGCAAUGUGAGAUACCACUCUAGAAAAGUUAGAAAUCUAAUGACAUUUUUUAAUCAAGAUGUUUGACACUUUCAGGCGGGCAGUUUUACUGGGGCGGUAGCCUCCUAAAAAGUAACGGAGGCGUACAAAGGUUUUCUCAGGCUGGACGGAAAUUAGUUGUAGAGUGUAAAGAUAUAAGAAAGCUUGACUGUGAGACCUACAAGUCAAACAGAGACUAAAGUCGGUCUUAGUGAUCCGACGGUGCUGUAUGGAAAGGCCGUCGCUCAACGGAUAAAAGUUACUCUAGGGAUAACAGGCUGAUCUCCCCCAAGAGUUCACAUCGACGGGGAGGUUUGGCACCUCGAUGUCGGCUCAUCGCAACCUGGGGCGGAAGUACGUUCCAAGGGUUGGGCUGUUCGCCCAUUAAAGCGGUACGUGAGCUGGGUUCAGAACGUCGAGAGACAGUUCGGUCCAUAUCCGGUGUGAGUGUUAGAGUAUUGAAAGUAGCUUUCCUUAGUACGAGAGGACCGGGAAGGACGCACCACUGAUGUACCAGUUUUGUACCAACAGAAUACGCUGG